GUCCACGCCCUAAACGAUGUCUACUAGUUGUUGGUGGAGUAAAAUCCAUGAGUAACGCAGCUAACGCGUGAAGUAGACCGCCUGGGGGAGUACGGUCGCAAGAUUAAAAACUCAAAUGAAUUGACGGGGGCCCGCACAAGCGGUGGAUUAUGUGGAUUAAUUCGAUGCAACGCGAAAAACCUUACCUGGCCUUGACAUGUACCGAAUUUGGGAGAGAUUCCUUAGUGCUCGAAAGAGAACGGUAACACAGGUGCUGCAUGGCUGUCGU
This 268-nucleotide ribosomal RNA is filed under the name uncultured bacterium. Its description in RNAcentral is "partial 16S ribosomal RNA". It matches the Rfam family "Bacterial small subunit ribosomal RNA", at positions 793 to 1055 of the family's 1533-position model. The record is from RNAcentral.